This is a long non-coding RNA of Harpia harpyja (harpy eagle), 1070 nucleotides long. RefSeq lists it as uncharacterized. NCBI's taxonomy places the organism in Eukaryota, Metazoa, Chordata, Aves, Accipitriformes, Accipitridae. The record is from RefSeq and is a predicted model, not a curated record. The transcript has 5 exons.
CAGGCACUUUGGUGGCAUCGCUACAGAUUUCCUGCCACCCAGGCAGCUUGGAUUUUAGGAAGUCCGCACACUGCAUCCAAGUUUAAAAGCUCAGCCUGAGACUUCUCUAAAGAAUCUAAUUUGCUUCUGUGUUCAGUUUGGUACCUCUUUAAAGUUGCCUGCAAUCAAAGCAUUUAAAACAUCUCAUGAUGCACUCAGCCAUGUAACUGGACUCCCCACAUGCUGUGCAUCAGGCAGAAGCCAUUUUAUGCUGGAACCUCCUUACUGCCACUGGUAAUCCACAGGCACUGCUCUCAGGCUUAUUUCUUUGCCAACAGACAUAUCUGGGGGUGGCGGUGAAGAAAAAACUAUGAUUGCUAAGCAUCAGCUGAGAGAGAACGGCCUCCUGCCUGUUACACUAGCCCCAGCACCUUGCGAUUGUACUAUGUUUGGGUACAGCAUACAUCUGAAAAGUCUGUGGAUGGAUGAAAAAUAGAAGACUUGGAAGAGGAGAGAAAAGGAUGGAAGGGAGAAGAAACUGAGCACUUAAGAUCAACAAACUGGAAAAAAAAAAAGGUAAACUAUUUCAAUAAGGGUAAAAAGGAAUCUGGCUGUUUAUAAUACAAGAAGAUGUCAAGUAUGUGAUCAAAGCUUGCACAGAUCCUUCUUUUAUGGUAGGUGAUGGUGAAAUAAGAAUAAAAGAAAAACAUUUAUCCACUACUUGUUUCAUAAGGUCAGACAAUAACAAGAACUUUCUGACAAUGGUUCAAGAUUUGAGUUCUUCCCUGCCCUGCCCCUCGCUGAAAAAAAAAAAUAAAAAAAAAAAUGCUGGGAAAAGGAAAACAAGAAAAGAAAUUCACCAGAUAUCUGAUUAGGGGAAGACUAAGCACUUCAUUAAUCUUUUCUAAGUUACAGAUAGCAUUUAGGGAAAUCAGUUACGGUUUUUUUUGUUGGGCUUUUGUUUGUUUGUUUGAAAAUGCUGCCUUUUGUUGUGCAAAGUCAUAGUUCUUUCAGAAAGAAAAUGAAAAUGAUGACCUUAUUUAAAUAGAAGCAGUUAAAAAAAAAAAAAAUCUACUGCAGCUGCUUUGGCC